RNAcentral lists this ribosomal RNA (253 nucleotides) under uncultured bacterium. Its description in RNAcentral is "partial 16S ribosomal RNA". It matches the Rfam family "Bacterial small subunit ribosomal RNA", at positions 524 to 776 of the family's 1533-position model. The record is from RNAcentral.
UACGCAGGGUGCAAGCGUUACUCGGAAUUACUGGGCGUAAAGCGUGCGUAGGCGGUGAGUUAAGUCUGUCGUGAAAGCCCCGGGCUCAACCUGGGAAUGGCGAUGGAUACUGGCUCGCUAGAGUGCGGUAGAGGAGAGUGGAAUUCCCGGUGUAGCAGUGAAAUGCGUAGAGAUCGGGAGGAACAUCAGUUGCGAAGGCGGCUCUCUGGACCAGCACUGACACUGAGGCACGAAAGCGUGGGGAGCAAACAGG